This 253-nucleotide ribosomal RNA is filed under the name uncultured bacterium. Its description in RNAcentral is "partial 16S ribosomal RNA". It matches the Rfam family "Bacterial small subunit ribosomal RNA", at positions 524 to 776 of the family's 1533-position model. The record is from RNAcentral.
UACGUAGGGGGCAAGCGUUGUCCGGAAUCAUUGGGCGUAAAGAGCGUGUAGGCGGCCCGAUAAGUCCGCUGUGAAAGUCCAGGGCUCAACCCUGGGAUGCCGGUGGAUACUGUCGGGCUCGAGUCCGGAAGAGGAGUGUGGAAUUCCCGGUGUAGCGGUGAAAUGCGCAGAUAUCAGGAGGAACACCAAUGGCGAAGGCAGCACUCUGGGACGUGACUGACGCUGAGACGCGAAAGCGUGGGGAGCAAACAGG